AGGAUGAACGCUGGCGGCGUGCCUAACACAUGCAAGUCGAACGCGCUCCAUUCAGUAGCAAUACUGAUGAAGAGUGAGUGGCGAACGGGUGAGUAACACAUGAGCAACCUGCCCCGAAGACUGGGACAACACCGGGAAACCGGUGCUAAUACCGGAUAUCCCUAUCGGACCGCAUGAUCUGAUAAGGAAUGGAUUCCGCUUCGGGAGGGGCUCGUGGCCUAUCAGCUAGUUGGUGAGGUAAUAGCUCACCAAGGCAUCGACGGGUAGCUGGUCUGAGAGGACGAUCAGCCACACUGGGACUGAGACACGGGCCCAGACUCCUACGGGAGGCAGCAGUGGGGAAUCUUGCGCAAUGGGCGAAAGCCUGACGCAGCAACGCCGCGUGGAGGACGAAUGCUUUCUGAGUUGUAAACUCCUUUCAGCAGGGACGAUUGUGACGGUACCUGCAGAGAAGCACCGGCCAACUACGCGACCG
This 475-nucleotide ribosomal RNA is filed under the name uncultured bacterium. RNAcentral's name for it is "SSU rRNA". It matches the Rfam family "Bacterial small subunit ribosomal RNA", at positions 26 to 511 of the family's 1533-position model. The record is from RNAcentral.